RNAcentral lists this ribosomal RNA (621 nucleotides) under Stenotrophomonas sp. 508(2010). RNAcentral's name for it is "bacterial SSU rRNA". It matches the Rfam family "Bacterial small subunit ribosomal RNA", at positions 33 to 643 of the family's 1533-position model. Lineage: Bacteria; Pseudomonadati; Pseudomonadota; Gammaproteobacteria; Lysobacterales; Lysobacteraceae. The record is from RNAcentral.
ACGCUGGCGGUAGGCCUAACACAUGCAAGUCGAACGGCAGCACAGGAGAGCUUGCUCUCUGGGUGGCGAGUGGCGGACGGGUGAGGAAUACAUCGGAAUCUACUUUUUCGUGGGGGAUAACGUAGGGAAACUUACGCUAAUACCGCAUACGACCUACGGGUGAAAGCAGGGGAUCUUCGGACCUUGCGCGAUUGAAUGAGCCGAUGUCGGAUUAGCUAGUUGGCGGGGUAAAGGCCCACCAAGGCGACGAUCCGUAGCUGGUCUGAGAGGAUGAUCAGCCACACUGGAACUGAGACACGGUCCAGACUCCUACGGGAGGCAGCAGUGGGGAAUAUUGGACAAUGGGCGCAAGCCUGAUCCAGCCAUACCGCGUGGGUGAAGAAGGCCUUCGGGUUGUAAAGCCCUUUUGUUGGGAAAGAAAUCCAGCUGGUUAAUACCCGGUUGGGAUGACGGUACCCAAAGAAUAAGCACCGGCUAACUUCGUGCCAGCAGCCGCGGUAAUACGAAGGGUGCAAGCGUUACUCGGAAUUACUGGGCGUAAAGCGUGCGUAGGUGGUCGUUUAAGUCCGUUGUGAAAGCCCUGGGCUCAACCUGGGAACUGCAGUGGAUACUGGGCGACUA